AGCUUAAUGUUAUAAUUUUAAGUGAAAUCUGCCCACCGUCUAUAAGAUAAAGGGCCGCAGUAACCUGACUGUGCAAAGGUAGCAUAAUCAAUUGCACCUUAAUUAGGUGAUGGAAUGAAUGAUUAAACGAGGUGUUAACUGUCUCAAAGUUAAAUAAUGAAUUUAUAUUUUAGGUUAAAAUACUUAAAUAGUAGUGAUAGACGAGAAGACCCUAUAGAUCUUUAUUUGUUUAUUCUUUAAGAUAAUGAUUAGACAAAUUUGGCUGGGGAAGCAAGUAAACUGUAAAACUUUACUUUAAAAAACCUUUAUAGUAGAAGAAGGGAGCCUAAGUGAAGCUUAAAAGAGAAAGUUACCUUAGGGAUAACAGCAUAAUAAAGAGUUUGGAGACCAUAUCUAAACUUGUGUUUAUGACCUCGAUGUUGAAUUAAGAUUACCUUGAGGAGAAGAGAAUUUACUAGGUUAGUCUGUUCGACUAUUAAAAUCU
Molecule: ribosomal RNA, 484 nt
Filed under: Menopon gallinae (poultry shaft louse)
Lineage: Eukaryota; Metazoa; Arthropoda; Insecta; Psocodea; Menoponidae
Description: partial 16S ribosomal RNA
Rfam family: Bacterial large subunit ribosomal RNA
Source: RNAcentral